GCUGGCGGCAGCUUUAAUACAUGCAAGUCGAGCGAGAAAGUUUCUUCGGAAAUUAGUAAAGCGGCGAACGGGUGAGUAACGCGUAGGAAUCUACCAUUCAGCGGGGGAUAGCUCGAGGAAACUCGAAUUAAUACCGCAUACACCCUACGGGGGAAAGAAGGCCUAUCCUUGGAAGCUUUCACUGUUUGAUGAGCCUGCGUGAGAUUAGUUUGUUGGUGAGGUAAUGGCUCACCAAGACUACGAUCUCUAGCUGGUCUGAGAGGACGAUCAGCCACACUGGGACUGAGACACGGCCCAGACUCCUACGGGAGGCAGCAGUAGAGAAUAUUGGACAAUGGGGGCAACCCUGAUCCAGGCAUGCCGCGUGUGUGAAGAAGGCCUUAGGGUUGUAAAGCACUUUAGGUAAGGAAGAAAAGUUAAUAGUUAAUACCUGUUGACCGUGACAUUACUUACAGAAUAAGGACCGGCUAACUCCGUGCCAGCAGCCGCGGUAAUACGGAGGGUCCAAGCGUUAAUCGGAAUUACUGGGCGUAAAGCGCGCGUAGGCGGUAUGCUAAGUUGGGUGUGAAAUCCCCGGGCUUAACCUGGGAACUGCAUUCAAAACUUGCAUACUGGAGUACGGAAGAGGCGAGUAGAAUUCAUGGUGUAGCGGUGAAAUGCGUAGAUAUCAUGAGGAAUACCAAUGGCGAAGGCAACUCGCUGGUCCGUAACUGACGCUGAGGUGCGAAAGCGUGGGUAGCAAACAGGAUUAGAUACCCUGGUAGUCCACGCCGUAAACGAUGAGAACUAGCCGUUGGAUCCUUGAGAUUCAGUGGCACAGCUAACGCAUUAAGUUCUCCGCC
Molecule: ribosomal RNA, 842 nt
Filed under: uncultured Gammaproteobacteria bacterium
Lineage: Bacteria; Pseudomonadati; Pseudomonadota; Gammaproteobacteria
Description: bacterial SSU rRNA
Rfam family: Bacterial small subunit ribosomal RNA
Source: RNAcentral